CAGGCCUAACACAUGCAAGUCGAACGCUCGUCUUCGGACGGGAGUGGCAGACGGGUGAGUAACACGUGGGAACGUACCCUUCGAUCUGGGAUAACUCUUGGAAACGGGAGCUAAUACCGGAUACGCCCUUUUUGGGGAAAGGUUUACUGUCGAGGGAUCGGCCCGCGUCUGAUUAGCUAGUUGGUGGGGUAACGGCCUACCAAGGCGACGAUCAGUAGCUGGUCUGAGAGGAUGAUCAGCCACACUGGGACUGAGACACGGCCCAGACUCCUACGGGAGGCAGCAGUGGGGAAUAUUGGACAAUGGGCGCAAGCCUGAUCCAGCCAUGCCGCGUGUGUGAUGAAGGCCUUAGGGUUGUAAAGCACUUUUAUCCGGGACGAUAAUGACGGUACCGGAGGAAUAAGCCCCGGCUAACUUCGUGCCAGCAGCCGCGGUAAU
This 438-nucleotide ribosomal RNA is filed under the name uncultured bacterium. RNAcentral's name for it is "bacterial SSU rRNA". It matches the Rfam family "Bacterial small subunit ribosomal RNA", at positions 43 to 524 of the family's 1533-position model. The record is from RNAcentral.